Molecule: ribosomal RNA, 1345 nt
Filed under: uncultured bacterium
Lineage: Bacteria
Description: bacterial SSU rRNA
Rfam family: Bacterial small subunit ribosomal RNA
Source: RNAcentral
GACGAACGCUGGCGGCGUGCUUAACACAUGCAAGUCGAACGAUGAAGCGGUGCUUGCACCGUGGAUUAGUGGCGAACGGGUGAGUAAUACGUGAGUGACCUACCUUUGACUCUGGGAUAAGCCUGGGAAACUGGGUCUAAUACCGGAUACGACCAAUCUCUGCAUGGGGUGUUGGUGGAAAGCGUUAUGGAGUGGUUUUAGAUGGGCUCACGGCCUAUCAGCUUGUUGGUGAGGUAAUGGCUUACCAAGGCGACGACGGGUAGCCGGCCUGAGAGGGUGACCGGCCACACUGGGACUGAGACACGGCCCAGACUCCUACGGGAGGCAGCAGUGGGGAAUAUUGCACAAUGGGCGCAAGCCUGAUGCAGCGACGCCGCGUGAGGGAUGACGGCCUUCGGGUUGUAAACCUCUGUUAGCAUCGAAGAAGCGAAAGUGACGGUAGGUGCAGAGAAAGCGCCGGCUAACUACGUGCCAGCAGCCGCGGUAAUACGUAGGGCGCGAGCGUUGUCCGGAAUUAUUGGGCGUAAAGAGCUUGUAGGCGGUUGGUCGCGUCUGCUGUGAAGGCCGGGGCUUAACUCCGGUUUUGCAGUGGGUACGGGCUAACUAGAGUGCAGUAGGGGAGACUGGAAUUCCUGGUGUAGCGGUGGAAUGCACAGAUAUCAGGAGGACCACCGAUGGCGAAGGCAGGUCUCUGGGCUGUAACUGACGCUGAGAAGCGAAAGCAUGGGGAGCGAACAGGAUUAGAUACCCUGGUAGUCCAUGCCGUAAACGUUGGGCACUAGGUGUGGGGGACAUUCCACGUUUUCCGCGCCGUAGCUAACGCAUUAAGUGCCCCGCCUGGGGAGUACGGCCGCAAGGCUAAAACUCAAAGGAAUUGACGGGGGCCCGCACAAGCGGCGGAGCAUGCGGAUUAAUUCGAUGCAACGCGAAGAACCUUACCAAGGCUUGACAUGCAUUAGAUCGCGUCAGAGAUGGCGUUUCCCUUCGGGGCUGGUGUACAGGUGGUGCAUGGUUGUCGUCAGCUCGUGUCGUGAGAUGUUGGGUUAAGUCCCGCAACGAGCGCAACCCUCGUUCUAUGUUGCCAGCGGUUCGGCCGGGGACUCAUAGGAGACUGCCGGGGUCAACUCGGAGGAAGGUGGGGAUGACGUCAAAUCAUCAUGCCCCUUAUGUCUUGGGCUUCACGCAUGCUACAAUGGCCGGUACAGAGGGUUGCGAUACUGUGAGGUGGAGCUAAUCCCUUAAAGCCGGUCUCAGUUCGGAUUGGGGUCUGCAACUCGACCCCAUGAAGUCGGAGUCGCUAGUAAUCGCAGAUCAGCAACGCUGCGGUGAAUACGUUCCCGGGCCU